RNAcentral lists this ribosomal RNA (494 nucleotides) under uncultured bacterium. RNAcentral's name for it is "partial 16S ribosomal RNA". It matches the Rfam family "Bacterial small subunit ribosomal RNA", at positions 28 to 507 of the family's 1533-position model. The record is from RNAcentral.
GACGAACGCUGGCGGCGUGCUUAACACAUGCAAGUCGAACGGUGAAGCGCCUUCCUUUUUGGUGGGUGGGGAUGAGUGGCGAACGGGGGAGUAACACGUGAGUAGCCUGCCCCCUUCUUCUGGAUAACCGCAUGAAAGUGUGGCUAAUACGGGAUAUUCUGGGUCUGUCGCAUGAUGGGUCUGGGAAAGAUAUUGUUUCGGUUGGGGAUGGGCUCGCGGCCUAUCAGCUUGUUGGUGGGGUGAUGGCCUACCAAGGCGGUGACGGGUAGCCGGCCUGAGAGGGUGGACGGUCCCACUGGGACUGAGCCACCGACACGCCUCCUACAGGAGGCAGCAGUGGGGAAUAUUGCACAAUGGGAGCCAUGCUGAUGCAGCGCCGCCGCGUGAGGGAUGGAGUCCUUCGGGUUGUGAACCUCUUUCGCCAGUGAAGCAGGCCUGCCUCGUUUGUGGGUGGGUUGACGGUAGCUGGAUAAGAAGCGCCGGCUAACUACGUG